GUUGUAUUCUGUAUAUUAUAUGAUUUAUAUUGAUUAAUUGAAGCUAUAGUAUACUAACUACAGAUUGUAAUUAGUUGAUUAGUCUAUAUAUAUGCUUUGUUCAUUACAUUUACGUAUUUGACAGUUGGACUUAUUGACAUACGACAUUUGCUACUGGUUUGGGUAACUUUGGUUUGACUGUAGUUUACUUCAAAGGUUUUCUUUUUAUGCUUCAUUGGGCCGCACACUUUCUUUAUUUCUAUUGGUCAUUAUAUUUUGGCGCUAUAUUUCUUUUGUUCUUUUAUGCUGGUCAUCACUUUUCUAUAUACUGGUGGACAUAUUGAUAUGUUCUUGAUGUAAUUUUAAGUAUGAACUUAUAUUCUUUCUUAGUUUUCUUUAUUCUUUAAUCAGGUAUAUUUUAAGUAAUCCUGGGAUGAUGUGAAUUAAUUUCCAUAUAGAUAAAUCAGGAGGCCUUUGCACCUCAUGCGAGGGUAUCUUUUUAUAU
This 484-nucleotide long non-coding RNA is filed under the name Mytilus galloprovincialis (Mediterranean mussel). Lineage: Eukaryota; Metazoa; Mollusca; Bivalvia; Mytilida; Mytilidae. The record is from RNAcentral.